AAGUCGUAACAAGGUCUCCGUAGGUGAACCUGCGGAGGGAUCAUUAACAAAUUUCAUUUUUCAAACGCGGACCAAUGGGCUCUAAGCCUAUAAAACAAAAUACAACUUUCAGCAACGGAUCUCUUGCCUCUC
This 132-nucleotide unclassified non-coding RNA is filed under the name fungal sp. Its description in RNAcentral is "partial internal transcribed spacer region". The stretch from base 1 to 46 matches the Rfam family "Eukaryotic small subunit ribosomal RNA", at positions 1786 to 1831 of the family's 1831-position model. Lineage: Eukaryota; Fungi. The record is from RNAcentral.